Molecule: ribosomal RNA, 497 nt
Filed under: uncultured bacterium
Lineage: Bacteria
Description: partial 16S ribosomal RNA
Rfam family: Bacterial small subunit ribosomal RNA
Source: RNAcentral
GAUGAACGCUGGCGGCGUGCCUAAUACAUGCAAGUCGAGCGAACAGACGAGGAGCUUGCUCCUCUGACGUUAGCGGCGGACGGGUGAGUAACACGUGGAUAACCUACCUAUAAGACUGGGAUAACUUCGGGAAACCGGAGCUAAUACCGGAUAAUAUAUUGAACCGCAUGGUUCAAUAGUGAAAGACGGUUUUGCUGUCACUUAUAGAUGGAUCCGCGCCGCAUUAGCUAGUUGGUAAGGUAACGGCUUACCAAGGCAACGAUGCGUAGCCGACCUGAGAGGGUGAUCGACCACACUGGAACUGAGACACGGUCCAGACUCCUACGGGAGGCAGCAGUAGGGAAUCUUCCGCAAUGGGCGAAAGCCAGACGGAGCAACGCCGCGUGAGUGAUGAAGGUCUUCGGAUCGUAAAACUCUGUUAUUAGGGAAGAACAAAUGUGUAAGUAACUAUGCACGUCUUGACGGUACCUAAUCAGAAAGCCACGGCUAACUACGUG